This 491-nucleotide ribosomal RNA is filed under the name uncultured bacterium. Its description in RNAcentral is "partial 16S ribosomal RNA". It matches the Rfam family "Bacterial small subunit ribosomal RNA", at positions 28 to 507 of the family's 1533-position model. The record is from RNAcentral.
GAUGAACGCUGGCUACAGGCUUAACACAUGCAAGUCGAGGGGAAACGACGGGGAAGCUUGCUUCCCCGGGCGUCGACCGGCGCACGGGUGAGUAACGCGUAUCCAACCUGCCUCUGACUGAGGGAUAACCCGUCGAAAGUCGGCCUAAUACCUCAUGGUAUCGUCUGCGGGCAUCCAACGACGAUUAAAGAUUUCAUCGGUCAGGGAUGGGGAUGCGUCUGAUUAGCUUGUUGGCGGGGUAACGGCCCACCAAGGCUACGAUCAGUAGGGGUUCUGGGAGGAAGGUCCCCCACAUUGGAACGGGGACCAGGUCCAAACUCCUACGGGAGGCAGCAGUGAGGAAUAUUGGUCAAUGGGCGAGAGCCUGAACCAGCCAAGUAGCGUGCAGGAAGACGGCCCUAUGGGUUGUAAACUGCUUUUAUGCGGGGAUAAAGUGAGGGACGUGUCCCUCAUUGCAGGUACCGCAUGAAUAAGGACCGGCUAAUUCCGUG